UAAAGAAUUUCGGUUAUCGAUGGGGAUGCGUUCCAUUAGUUAGUUGGCGGGGUAACGGCCCACCAAGACGACGAUGGAUAGGGGUUCUGAGAGGAAGGUCCCCCACAUUGGAACUGAGACACGGUCCAAACUCCUACGGGAGGCAGCAGUGAGGAAUAUUGGUCAAUGGACGAGAGUCUGAACCAGCCAAGUAGCGUGAAGGAUGACUGCCCUAUGGGUUGUAAACUUCUUUUAUAUGGGAAUAAAACAGGGUAUGCAUACCCUCUUGUAUGUACCAUAUGAAUAAGGAUCGGCUAACUCCGUGCCAGCAGCCGCGGUAAUACGGAGGAUCCGAGCGUUAUCCGGAUUUAUUGGGUUUAAAGGGAGCGUAGGUGGAUUGUUAAGUCAGUUGUGAAAGUUUGCGGCUCAACCGUAAAAUUGCAGUUGAAACUGGCAGUCUUGAGUACAGUAGAGGUGGGCGGAAUUCGUGGUGUAGCGGUGAAAUGCUUAGAUAUCACGAAGAACUCCGAUUGCGAAGGCAGCUCACUGGACUGCAACUGACACUGAUGCUCGAAAGUGUGGGUAUCAAACAGGAUUAGAUACCCUGGUAGUCCACACAGUAAACGAUGAAUACUCGCUGUUUGCGAUAUACGGUAA
This 636-nucleotide ribosomal RNA is filed under the name uncultured bacterium. RNAcentral describes it as "bacterial SSU rRNA". It matches the Rfam family "Bacterial small subunit ribosomal RNA", at positions 202 to 842 of the family's 1533-position model. The record is from RNAcentral.